UCUCUCCCUCCCUCCCUUUCCUUUCCCCCUUCUCCCCCUCCCUCUUUCCCCUCCUCUUCCCCUUUCUUUCUUUCCGUUCCUCUUCCACUCUGCCACUUUAUCUCUCCCGGUAGCUCUCCUUCCACUACUCUCUCCCUCUCUCCUUGGCCGAUCUUCCCCCGCGCUGCCCAGGGACGCAGACCUCGUUUUGCAGAGAUAGGUCUUACUAAUAUGUCCAAAUACAGUGAGGAAGAAACCACAGAAUGCUUGCAUCUGGGGAUUCACUACUGGCUUUCCAGGCAGAGCUGUUCCUCCAGUUUCCAAACAAUAAAGUCUCAUGAAGCUGGAGGAAAGCUCGGAAGUCUCAUCAAUAAUGCCAAUAACCUCAGUACCUCUUUCCUCUGGAUUUGCAUGUAUUGUAAUUCUCAAAAAGAACUGAAGUCUUGUGUAAUAAUAUAAAUAAAUAAUAUGCAUGUUGUUAUCGUCUCCAAAGUAAUGGUAAAUUGUUUGGUUUUGUGAACAGCUUGAUUUUAAUUUAUUCUUGUCCUAACUAAUAGGAAAGAAAGAUAAUAAAACAUAUAAGUGUUGGUAA
Psammomys obesus (fat sand rat) is the source of this 571-nucleotide long non-coding RNA. RefSeq lists it as uncharacterized. The record is from RefSeq and is a predicted model, not a curated record. The transcript is spliced from 3 exons. NCBI's taxonomy places the organism in Eukaryota, Metazoa, Chordata, Mammalia, Rodentia, Muridae.